This is a non-coding RNA of Poecilia reticulata (guppy), 3943 nucleotides long. The record is from RefSeq and is a predicted model, not a curated record. NCBI's taxonomy places the organism in Eukaryota, Metazoa, Chordata, Actinopteri, Cyprinodontiformes, Poeciliidae.
GCAAAAGUCACACAGAUAGUGACUGUUGGCUACAUAACCCAGGGGCUGUACUCGGGUAUGUGAUCUGUUAACCAGAAAAGCCUUCAUGUUCCAAAAACAACCUCAAUUUGCAAAAUCUUAAUAUAUGUAAAUGUAAAGCACAUAUAAAAAAAACUUAACAUGAAUGCUUUUCAUAUACAUUAAUAAAGAUAAAGAUUUGUUUCGAAAGUGAAACACUGGUUUUGCCCCAGUUUCAGUGGGUAAAGAAAUGCGUUUUCAUACCAACACGGUUUCUGCCUGUACAGCCUGGUAGCGUGAAGAAAAAAAACGAUAAGGAAAGUUAAAAAAAUAAACAAAUAAUUCAAAUUCAACAUUUAAGAAUUUUAAGUAAUCCUAAUAAGUAAACCUAUGUGUCGAAGUCCUACCUGAAAAGCCAUCACUGUAUCCAMGCUAGCAGUAUCCAACCCAAAAAUAUCAAUGAACUGGGGAACGUGAAUUUAAACGGGGCUUGUUUUGUAGUUUACUGCAGCUGCAUUAAAUUUGAUUUAUUUACUUUUUAUUGGGUCUUGUUUUUUCUUCUCGCGUAUGACGAGCUGACGGCUCCUCUCGAUACCGCAGACCUCCUGCAGAAUGCGCAUGCGUACUUACUACAUGUGUGCUAUUCUGACAUGUAUGGCUAUCUGACAGAACACAGUGUCUCCACUUUUAAUGUAUUUAUUUCCUCACGUAUUCUACCCUUGGAGAGUUAAAAAACACAUUUUCUUUCAGAUGUACUGUCCAUUUUGUGGGACUGCCGCCAUAAAUUCUGCAGACUUUUGUUGUCAAUGUGGCAGAAACAUAAAAUUUGUCCAAGAUCAUGCAAACAAAGCCCAGGAUGAGAGGGACACUACCACUGCAACUCCCGAUGUUCAGCCAAGCACCAGCACAGGUCUGGGAUGGUCCAGAUGAAGCAAGCACUCAAAGACUGGAGAAAAUUUUGAAUGGGCAUUUUGGACACAGAACAAGGGUCUGAUCAGGAUGGAGGAAACCCCAACGUCCAGGAGCUUGCCAUGUCCUCAGAGGGCCAGAACCACUUCUAUCGCAACUACACAAAUGUGUACGCACCUACAAUAGUUGACAGCGACUCUGAGCCGGACGAAUAUCUGAUGCAGUCCCCUGAGGAAAGUACAGACGACGUGACUGCUGCAGACAUCAUUUCAGAGCUCUCAGCAAAGAUCACAUCAUCAUCUCUCAGCCGCUUUAACAUAAACGGAGCCAAUGUUUGGGAUGGAGCACUGAGAGGUUUCAAGCCGGCUUCUUUCAACCCUUUCAAUGAAAUAUUUGUAAAAUUCACCGAUGACGAGGGACAGGCAGAAGUUGAUGACGGUGGUCCCAAGCGCCAGUUUCUAAGCCUUUUAAUGAACUGCUUAAGGACACGCAGAGUCUUUGAUGGACCAGAAGAAAGGAAAUUUAUCACUUUUGACAGUGAAGAUAUUGACAUUAAGAGCAAUAUUUCAGUUUUCUCAUACGAAUGUGACAGUUGUUGGUGAAUGUGGAAUUAAUGUGAACAAAAUCUAUACAGCUGCCAAAAAUGAUUAUUUCCUGGUUGGGAGGAUGAUUGCCACUUCUGUCGUUCAUGGAGGUCCAGGUCCUCGAUUCUCAGCACCUCACAGGAACAUCAACCAAUACAGGAGGAAAGAUGGAAGACAUCACCGACACCAUGAGGGCUUCUUUGAUUCAGAUCUCCAGUGCAGCCACAUUGACUGAACUUCCAGUCAGUUGAAAGACAUGAGCAUCUUGCAAACUGCUGGUUGCUGUGAGUGUUGAUGACAAAUGGAAGAUUGUAAAGGAGUUCAUUAAUUGGUACAUCAUUUACCACAAUCAUUUCUCUGUUCAAAGAUUCAAGGAUGGCCUUUCAACACUGAACUUCCAGAAUGCUCUGGAGCAGCAUGCUCCUGUGUUCAGGCCAUUUAUGUGUGCAGAGUGGAACAGCUGACAUCCAAAAUGUUUGAGGUUCAGCUCAGUGAAAAGGGCAGCAGCAGACAUGAGGAAGCAAGAGUGCUAGGAUUCUGGAAAGAUUAUCUCCUUGAGACAGAAGAACAAAAAAUGGGUCCCUCUCUCCAGGACAUCCUGAUGUUUGCCACCGGCUUGAACACACUACCUCCGUCUUCAAUUCUGCCACCACCAAAACUGAUUUUUCAGGCCACUUCUCGUUUUCCUGUCAGUAGCUCCUGAUCCAACACCAUCAGAACACCAAUGUCCAAGACAUAUCAGUUUAAAGAAGACAUGGACUGUGGGAUUCAAGACUCCCCAGGGUUUGGGCUUUAUUAAGGUCAAAUGCAUAACAACAAAACAAAAUGCUGACUAUUUAACUUGUCAAACCUGUUCAGUUAUGACACUGUUGGGUUGUGUUUGUGUGAGACCUUCAAAUUUGGAUUCUUGUUUAUUUAUAAGUCCGCCAUGUUUUUCAGUUUGAUAGUUUUCGCCACAUGAUUCCCAACUCUGUGGAUGUGCCAGGCCACCCUGUGUCUGGAGGUCCUCAAACUGCCUGAAGGUGUUCGUCUCCACAUUGAAUGUUGGUCUCAGUCACAAACUGUCCCAGUUGCUCCUGGGAGACUGGAAACCAGUCUGUUCCACCAAACCUAGGAAUAGAAGAAGCACAGUAAACAUUUAGUUAGAUUUACAUUUCUUCACUCAACUGUUACUGCUAUGACUAUUGUUGUAGCCUGUUUAAAUGAUUGAUUGUAUUUAAAUUUACAUUUUAGAAAUUAAUGUCAUCUGAAAUUGUUAGAAUAAAAAGUGACAUGCCGUUAACACAUCGCUCAUUAUUUUUGUUUUGGCAAAUUAGUUUUAGAGCUUCCCAAAGAGGUUUUAAAUUAACCAGAUGUUAAUUAAAUAAAAGACAAAGGCAACAAAAAUGACCUGUGAGGCAGAUGAUGCAUCACAUCUGGUUUACCAGAUGGACAGCAAGAUUGUUUAACAGGUCUUCAGUUUAUCCCACCUGUCCUUGCAUUCAUCAAGAUCUCUGUAACAAAUCAUGUGUUUUUUUGUUGUUUUUUUUUUAAAUUUUGAAUCUGAAGUUCUUAUUUGGACUUGGAAAUAAGCAGAGACAUAUAAUAAGCCCCUUAAUUUGUCUGACAUCCAAGCAGUUUUAGUCAGGACUUCCAGGUACAUCUGUUCCCGGAUGAUCCAUCUUGCUGUGCCUUUGGUAAUGUCAAGGUAAUAUAUUUGUUGUGAGCGACCUUGACUUUCGCAUUGCGCUCCAGAAAACUGCAAAAUCGAGACUAAUAUGAACAGAGCGAUAAACGUGAAAACAGCCAAGCAUGAACGUUUCUGUAAAGUUGCCCAACUAAACGCAUUUAUAAUCCAAGUGUCACAAAUCUGCGCAGCGGGCCAUCUGAGUGGUGGAGCAGCAGGAAGAGCGCUGCGCUCGGACAGGGCCGUAACGCAGAGCCUAGAGGCCGAGGUGGGAGGGGGGCUCUACAAUCCUAUUUAUAGUUUUCCAGACAAUAGUGGAAAUCACGAAAACAUACAAAAAAUACUAAGGUUUUAUUUGCGUGUGUGUGUGUGUGCUGUUGUAACCAUUAAUCUCCCGUUCAGUUCAACCUUAUAAGCGGAGAUACAUACUGGAUAUUACUAUAAUUAAAUAACUUGCAAUUAAGUAUUUGCAAAGCUCAAGCUUUUCACAACUGGUGGAGAAAAAUAAAAAAUGUAACUUGGUAACUUUCCAAAAAAAUAAUCACUAAUCUACUUUUUCAAGUAGUAAUAAGUAAUCGAUUAAAGUUACAUUUUCAAAGUAACUGUCAUCACUGCUUACCAGUGUUUUGAUCUUGUGCCAAGAACUGCACAUUUUUCCCACAUGAAAAACAGAAAACUUGAAUUGUUCCUAGAUUUUGUCCACAGAAACAGCAAAACAUGGCCACCUAAAAAGGUAAAUGGUGUGAACAUGGGUAUAGUGGAAACCAGACAUGUACACACAAAAAAA